AUUGAACGCUGGCGGCAGGCCUAACACAUGCAAGUCGAACGGUAACAGGAAGAAGCUUGCUUCUUUGCUGACGAGUGGCGGACGGGUGAGUAAUGUCUGGGAAACUGCCUGAUGGAGGGGGAUAACUACUGGAAACGGUAGCUAAUACCGCAUAACGUCGCAAAACCAAAGAGGGGGACCUUCGGGCCCCUUGCCAUCGGAUGUGCCCAGAUGGGAUUAGCUAGUAGGUGGGGUAACGGCUCACCUAGGCGACGAUCCCUAGCUGGUCUGAGAGGAUGACCAGCCACCCUGGAACUGAGACACGGUCCAGACUCCUACGGGAGGCAGCAGUGGGGAAUAUUGCACAAUGGGCGGAAGCCUGAUGCAGCCAUGCCGCGUGUAUGAAGAAGGCCUUCGGGUUGUAAAGUACUUUCAGCGGGGAGGAAGGGAGUAAAGUUAAUACCUUUGCUCAUUGACGUUACCCGCAGAAGAAGCACCGGCUAACUCCGUG
RNAcentral lists this ribosomal RNA (490 nucleotides) under uncultured bacterium. RNAcentral's name for it is "partial 16S ribosomal RNA". It matches the Rfam family "Bacterial small subunit ribosomal RNA", at positions 30 to 507 of the family's 1533-position model. The record is from RNAcentral.